Molecule: ribosomal RNA, 460 nt
Filed under: Dujonia zeylanoides
Lineage: Eukaryota; Fungi; Ascomycota; Pichiomycetes; Serinales; Debaryomycetaceae
Description: eukaryotic LSU rRNA
Rfam family: Eukaryotic large subunit ribosomal RNA
Source: RNAcentral
CGGCAAAAGCUCAAAUUUGAAAUCUAGCACUUUCAGUGUUCGAGUUGUAAUUUGAAGAAGGUAACUUUGGUUUUGGCUCUUGUCUAUGUUCCUUGGAACAGGACGUCACAGAGGGUGAGAAUCCCGUGCGAUGAGAUGCCCAAUUCCAUGUAAAGUGCUUUCGAAGAGUCGAGUUGUUUGGGAAUGCAGCUCUAAGUGGGUGGUAAAUUCCAUCUAAAGCUAAAUAUUGGCGAGAGACCGAUAGCGAACAAGUACAGUGAUGGAAAGAUGAAAAGAACUUUGAAAAGAGAGUGAAAAAGUACGUGAAAUUGUUGAAAGGGAAGGGCUUGAGAUCAGACUUGGUAUUUUGCGUUCCCUUCCUUUUUGGUUGGGUUCCUCGCAGUUUACUGGGCCAGCAUCGGUUUGGAUGGUAGGAUAAUGACAUUGGAAUGUAGCUUUACUUCGGUGAAGUGUUAUAGAC